GGGCUAUAGCUCAGUGGCAGAGCACCCGUUUACCACGUAGAAGGUCCCAGGUUCAGUCCUUGGCAUCUCCA
Molecule: non-coding RNA, 71 nt
Organism: Podarcis lilfordi (Lilford's wall lizard)
Lineage: Eukaryota; Metazoa; Chordata; Lepidosauria; Squamata; Lacertidae
Source: the annotation of a GenBank genome assembly